GAUGAACGCUGGCGGCGUGCUUAACACAUGCAAGUCGAACGAUGAAGCCCAGCUUGCUGGGUGGUUUAGUGGCGAACGGGUGAGUAACACGUGAGUAACCUGCCCUUGACUCUGGGAUAAGCCUGGGAAACUGGGUCUAAUACUGGAUAUGACUUCUCAUCGCAUGGUGGGGGGUGGAAAGAUUUAUUGGUCUUGGAUGGACUCGCGGCCUAUCAGCUUGUUGGUGAGGUAAUGGCUCACCAAGGCGACGACGGGUAGCCGGCCUGAGGGGGUGACCGGCCCCACUGGGACUGAGACACGGCCCAGACUCCUACGGGAGGCAGCAGUGGGGAAUAUUGCACAAUGGGCGCAAGCCUGAUGCAGCGACGCCGCGUGAGGGAUGACGGCCUUCGGGUUGUAAACCUCUUUCAGUAGGGAAGAAGCGAGAGUGACGGUACCUGCAGAAGAAGCGCCGGCUAACUACGUG
This 466-nucleotide ribosomal RNA is filed under the name uncultured bacterium. RNAcentral describes it as "partial 16S ribosomal RNA". It matches the Rfam family "Bacterial small subunit ribosomal RNA", at positions 28 to 507 of the family's 1533-position model. The record is from RNAcentral.